GGGAGCAGAUAGGUAGCUGGUGUGCCUCCCGGUCUUCAAAACCGGUGUGGGGGGUUAGAAGCCUCCCGGGUGGGUUCGAUUCCCACCUCUCCCG
This 94-nucleotide transfer RNA is filed under the name Hungatella hathewayi. Its description in RNAcentral is "tRNA-Sec". It matches the Rfam family "Selenocysteine transfer RNA". RNAcentral also lists the same sequence under 1 other name. Lineage: Bacteria; Bacillati; Bacillota; Clostridia; Lachnospirales; Lachnospiraceae. The record is from RNAcentral.